Drosophila ananassae is the source of this 72-nucleotide non-coding RNA. NCBI's taxonomy places the organism in Eukaryota, Metazoa, Arthropoda, Insecta, Diptera, Drosophilidae. The record is from Rfam.
GGGGACGUAGCUCAGUGGAAGAGCGCUCGCUUUGCAUGUGAGAGGUCCCGGGUUCGAUCCCCGGCGUCUCCA